RNAcentral lists this ribosomal RNA (896 nucleotides) under uncultured bacterium. Its description in RNAcentral is "bacterial SSU rRNA". It matches the Rfam family "Bacterial small subunit ribosomal RNA", at positions 29 to 915 of the family's 1533-position model. The record is from RNAcentral.
AUGAACGCUAGCUACAGGCUUAACACAUGCAAGUCGAGGGGAAACGAUAGAGAAAGCUUGCUUUUUCUAGGCGUCGACCGGCGCACGGGUGAGUAACGCGUAUCCAACCUGCCCAUCACUUGGGGAUAACCUUGCGAAAGUAAGACUAAUACCCAAUGAGGUCUCUAGAAGACAUCUGAAAGAGAUUAAAGAUUUAUCGGUGAUGGAUGGGGAUGCGUCUGAUUAGCUUGUUGGCGGGGUAACGGCCCACCAAGGCGACGAUCAGUAGGGGUUCUGAGAGGAAGGUCCCCCACAUUGGAACUGAGACACGGUCCAAACUCCUACGGGAGGCAGCAGUGAGGAAUAUUGGUCAAUGGGCGAGAGCCUGAACCAGCCAAGUAGCGUGCAGGAUGACGGCCCUAUGGGUUGUAAACUGCUUUUAUAAGGGAAUAAAGUGGGAGUCGUGACUCCUUUUGCAUGUACCUUAUGAAUAAGGACCGGCUAAUUCCGUGCCAGCAGCCGCGGUAAUACGGAAGGUCCGGGCGUUAUCCGGAUUUAUUGGGUUUAAAGGGAGCGUAGGCCGGAGAUUAAGCGUGUUGUGAAAUGUAGACGCUCAACGUCUGCACUGCAGCGCGAACUGGUUUCCUUGAGUACGCACAAAGUGGGCGGAAUUCGUGGUGUAGCGGUGAAAUGCUUAGAUAUCACGAAGAACUCCGAUUGCGAAGGCAGCUCACUGGAGCGCAACUGACGCUGAAGCUCGAAAGUGCGGGUAUCGAACAGGAUUAGAUACCCUGGUAGUCCGCACGGUAAACGAUGGAUGCCCGCUGUUGGUCUGAAUAGGUCAGCGGCCAAGCGAAAGCAUUAAGCAUCCCACCUGGGGAGUACGCCGGCAACGGUGAAACUCAAAGGAAUUGACG